AUCAUUACCGAGUGCGGGUCCUUUGGGCCCAACCUCCCAUCCGUGUCUAUUGUACCCUGUUGCUUCGGCGGGCCCGCCGCUUGUCGGCCGCCGGGGGGGCGCCUCUGCCCCCCGGGCCCGUGCCCGCCGGAGACCCCAACACGAACACUGUCUGAAAGCGUGCAGUCUGAGUUGAUUGAAUGCAAUCAGUUAAAACUUUCAACAAUGGAUCUCUUGGUUCCGGCAUCGAUGAAGAACGCAGCGAAAUGCGAUAACUAAUGUGAAUUGCAGAAUUCAGUGAAUCAUCGAGUCUUUGAACGCACAUUGCGCCCCCUGGUAUUCCGGGGGGCAUGCCUGUCCGAGCGUCAUUGCUGCCCUCAAGCCCGGCUUGUGUGUUGGGUCGCCGUCCCCCUCUCCGGGGGGACGGGCCCGAAAGGCAGCGGCGGCACCGCGUCCGAUCCUCGAGCGUAUGGGGCUUUGUCACAUGCUCUGUAGGAUUGGCCGGCGCCUGCCGACGUUUUCCAACCAUUCUUUCCAGGUUGACCUCGGAUCAGGUAGGGAUACCCGCUGAACUUAAGC
This 558-nucleotide ribosomal RNA is filed under the name uncultured Aspergillus. RNAcentral describes it as "eukaryotic LSU rRNA". The stretch from base 194 to 347 matches the Rfam family "5.8S ribosomal RNA". The record is from RNAcentral. Lineage: Eukaryota; Fungi; Ascomycota; Eurotiomycetes; Eurotiales; Aspergillaceae.